This 1215-nucleotide ribosomal RNA is filed under the name metagenome. Its description in RNAcentral is "SSU rRNA". It matches the Rfam family "Eukaryotic small subunit ribosomal RNA", at positions 508 to 1790 of the family's 1831-position model. The record is from RNAcentral.
AUUGCAAUGAGGCAUGUUUAAUAACCUGUUCGAGCAACCAGUGAAGGGCAAGUCUGGUGCCAGCAGCCGCGGUAAUUCCAGCUUCACGAGUGUAUAUUUAAGUUGUUGCAGUUAAAAAGCUCGUAGUUGAAAAUCUGUUCGUUCAGAAGGUGUUCAUAGCAUUUUCUGGAUGAGCAUCCGCCUGAAAAAUCAUUCGGGUCUUCACUGAUUCAGUGAUGGAUCAGGCAUUUUACUUUGAAAAAAUUAGAGUGUUCAAAGCAGGCUCACGCCUGAAUACAUUAGCAUGGAAUAAUAGAAUAGGACGCUGUUCAAUUUGUUGGUUAUUGAAUUGCGUAAUGAUUAAUAGGGACAGUUGGGGGCAUUUGUAUUUAAUUGUCAGAGGUGAAAUUCUUGGAUUUAUUAAAGACAAACUUAUGCGAAAGCAUUUGCCAAGGAUGUUUUCAUUAAUCAAGAACGAAAGUUAGAGGAUCAAAGACGAUCAGAUACCGUCCUAGUUUUAGCUAUAAACUAUGCCGACUCGGUCUCCGUCGAGUAAUUUUAACUCGAUGGGUGCCGUAUGAGAAAUCAAAGUCUUUGGGUUCCGGGGGGAGUAUGGUCGCAAGGUUGAAACUUAAAGGAAUAGACGGAACAUCACUACCAGGUGUGGAUCCUGCGGCUUAAUUUGACCCAACACGGGGAAACUUACCAGCGCAAAACAAUGGUGGGAUUGACAGAUUGAGAGCUCUUUCUUGAUUCUUUGGAUAGUGGUGCAUGGCCGUUCUUAGUUGGUGGAGUGAUUUGUCUGCUUAAUUGCGUUAACGAACGAGACCUCAACCUACUUACUAGACAUACGAUGUACAAUCGUGUGAUCUUCUUAGAGGGACUGUGCGGAGACAAACGCAAGGAAGUUUGAGGCAAUAACAGGUCUGUGAUGCCCUUAGAUGUGCUGGGCCGCACGCGGGAUACAAUGACCCGUUCAGAAAGUAUAACCUGACCCGGAAGGGAGUGGGUAAUCUUUUUAAUGCGGGUCGUGCUAGGGAUCGAUCUUUGCAAUUAUAGAUCUUGAACGAGGAAUACCUAGUAAGUGCAAGUCAUCAGCUUGUAGUGAUUACGUCCCUGGUGUUUGUACUCACCGCCCGUCGCUCCUACCAAUUUCGAAUGAUCCGGUGAACCUUUUGGAUUGGGUGCAAGCCUAAGAAGUUAAGUAAACCUUAUCAUUUAGAGGAAGGAGAAGUC